Molecule: RNA transcript, 1845 nt
Organism: Triticum aestivum (bread wheat)
Lineage: Eukaryota; Viridiplantae; Streptophyta; Magnoliopsida; Poales; Poaceae
Exons: 5
Source: RefSeq, a predicted model, not a curated record
ACCAGCUUCCAGCGAUCCAUCUAAGACCAUAUAUAAUGGCAGCGAAAAUCCGUCAUUCGACUCUUCUUCUUCUACUACUUGUAGUAGCUUUCUUCCUACCCCUGGUCUGUUCCACGGAGUUCGUCCACCUGUACUUCAAUUACACCAUCGACCCCUACACCAAGAACUACGCAGACUUGAAGAGAAUACUGGUGAGGAACCAGCCUGAGCUGCGAGUGCUGACGAGCAGGGCGUUGGCGGUUCGACGCCUCAACUUCUAUGACCUGCCGGCUCGAGUGAUUUUAUGCCACCUCAACGGUGAUCUUCCCCAGGACAAGUGCGUCGUCGCCUUCGCAGACGACGAUAUCUCCGCCAUGGGCUUCAGGAACUCCACCGGGCACUGGCACUGCAUAGGAGGCUUCCGGUUCGCGGGCUGUACAGUUCUCCCCUUCGGGGAGAAUUACGGCGAGCUUCUAGGAGAGGGUGGCCACGUAAACCUCCCGUUGGUACCGCUCGGGAGGGAGGCGGCGAAAGAGGGAGUGCGCCUUCUGGCAAGCUACUCAUACUCCCCCGGCGGGGACCUUGGACCGGCUAAGCGAGGCAUGGCCAGGUUCAUCGUCAUGAUAGCCGAAGCAGCCCGUUUCCGGCCCGUCAGCAACAGGUUGGCGGAUCACUGGGAGGAAGAGACUUACAUGCUCGAGGUUGAGGCAAAUUUCUGUAUAAACUGGGGGAAAAUGUCGUUUUUACUUAUUGACUGGGAUAAAACAACCGGGCGUACAAGCUGGGGAAGGGGCCAUUACACAGCGGCUCAAGAGCUGGAGCGGGAAACAGGAAUUAAGAGCCAAGGAGAUGUUUUACGCGUCCUAGACCUGCUGGUGCUAUGAUGGAAAACACAAACAAAGCAAACGGUGAAGCUGAAGCAAUUCUUGCCAGGUCAUAGGCCACUGCUGAAGGGAUCAGGAUGGUCUCAGAGUCGUUUAAAACUGAAGGCAGCACAGAGUGCACGAAACGGCGUCACUGCAGCCCAAGUGGAUGAGUCGGCCGCCCACGUCGUAGGUGCCCCGGAUACCAGCGGAGGUGACGUUGGAAACUAUGAUGCUCUUCUUUUACUUGUUUUUUGAAGAAGUUAUAGCUUGCCGUAUGUGCAUGGUAGAUUCAGUUAUGCAAGUAGGUAGUAUCUUGAUUUCCACUGGACAUGUAGCGAUGGAGCUGAAAACAAUGCUUUGCGUAGGUUCAUGGCCCUGCCAUGUGCUUGCUUCUGUCUAUGUCCAUGAGCAACAGCAAAAUCAAUCAUUUAGUAGCAUAUCGUUCUUAGACCUUAAUACUUGUCCUAGCAACUGGAUAUACCGGAGAAUUGGGUGUCAAGCCAGAUGAUCUUAGCCUGGAGAAAUAUUUUGCUGCUAAAAGUCUUCUUUCAUCAAGGUCCUUCCGUAUAGAUAAAUAUCAUGGAUAUGCUGCAUCAGUUACGUUGUGGUGAGUGGUGGGUUAUAGUGGUUUGAAUAUUAACAUGGAUAUGUGCCCUUCACUGUAUUUGGUUAUCAGUUUUAAUCACAAGACUGAUGGUGAACAUGUCCACUUCACUAAGUCAGAAGCCUCAGACUAAGAUGAUGAUGAUCAAAGCAAUGCAGAAGAAAUCGAAAUGGGGCUGCGGAGGCGACUAUGACAACAUCAUCACGGUGCUGCGGCGGCGGCGACGACGACGAUGCCGACAUCAACACCAUCAAACACGGGCUUGUGGAGGCGCCGACGCCGACGACCUAUACGCGUGCGUAUAUUGUGUGUGUGUGUAUAUAUGUGUGUAUUAAUUAGCUAUAUCAGAUAUGUAUGUUUGUCUGUACACAUAAAAUGUACGUAUUAUUAAAUGCA